RNAcentral lists this ribosomal RNA (497 nucleotides) under uncultured bacterium. RNAcentral describes it as "partial 16S ribosomal RNA". It matches the Rfam family "Bacterial small subunit ribosomal RNA", at positions 28 to 507 of the family's 1533-position model. The record is from RNAcentral.
GAUGAACGCUGGCGGCGUGCCUAAUACAUGCAAGUCGAGCGAACAGACGAGGAGCUUGCUCCUCUGACGUUAGCGGCGGACGGGUGAGUAACACGUGGAUAACCUACCUAUAAGACUGGGAUAACUUCGGGAAACCGGAGCUAAUACCGGAUAAUAUAUUGAACCGCAUGGUUCAAUAGUGAAAGACGGUUUUGCUGUCACUUAUAGAUGGAUCCGCGCCGCAUUAGCUAGUUGGUAAGGUAACGGCUUACCAAGGCAACGAUGCGUAGCCGACCUGAGAGGGUGAUCGGCCACACUGGAACUGAGACACGGUCCAGACUCCUACGGGAGGCAGCAGUAGGGAAUCUUCCGCAAUGGGCGAAAGCCUGACGGAGCAACGCCGCGUGAGUGAUGAAGGUCUUCGGAUCGUAAAACUCUGUUAUUAGGGAAGAACAAAUGUGUAAGUAACUAUGCACGUCUUAACGGUACCUAAUCAGAAAGCCGCGGCUAACUACGUG